This 285-nucleotide ribosomal RNA is filed under the name uncultured bacterium. Its description in RNAcentral is "partial 16S ribosomal RNA". It matches the Rfam family "Bacterial small subunit ribosomal RNA", at positions 28 to 320 of the family's 1533-position model. The record is from RNAcentral.
GAUGAACGCUAGCGGCAGGCUUAACACAUGCAAGUCGAGGGCAGCAAGGGUAGCAAUACCUGUUGGCGACCGGCAAACGGGUGCGGAACACGCACACAACAUACCCUUUUACUGGAGCAUAGCCCGUUGAAAGCGGAUUAACACUCCAUAAUAUAGCAGAGUGGCAUCACUUAGUUAUUAAAAUUAUUGGUAAGAGAUUGGUGUGCGUCCUAUUAGCUAGNGGUAGGUAACGCUACCAAGCGACGAUAGUAGCUGUGUGAGAGCACGACCAGCCACACGGGCACU